CCUACGGGGGGCAGCAGUGAGGAAUAUUGGUCAAUGGACGAGAGUCUGAACCAGCCAAGUAGCGUGAAGGAUGACUGCCCUAUGGGUUGUAAACUUCUUUUAUAUGGGAAUAAAAUGUUCCACGUGUGGGAUUUUGUAUGUACCAUAUGAAUAAGGAUCGGCUAACUCCGUGCCAGCAGCCGCGGUAAUACGGAGGAUCCGAGCGUUAUCCGGAUUUAUUGGGUUUAAAGGGAGCGUCGGUGGAUUGUUAAGUCAGUUGUGAAAGUUUGCGGCUCAACCGUAAAAUUGCAGUUGAAACUGGCAGUCUGGAGUACAGUAGAGGUGGGCGGAAUUCGUGGUGUAGCGGUGAAAUGCUUAGAUAUCACGAAGAACUCCGAUUGCGAAGGCAGCUCACUGGACUGCAACUGACACUGAGGCUCGAAAGUGUGGGUAUCAAACAGGAUUAGAUACCCCAGUAGUC
RNAcentral lists this ribosomal RNA (460 nucleotides) under uncultured bacterium. RNAcentral describes it as "partial 16S ribosomal RNA". It matches the Rfam family "Bacterial small subunit ribosomal RNA", at positions 338 to 795 of the family's 1533-position model. The record is from RNAcentral.